CUUGCUCCCUGAUGUUACGGCGGACGGGUGAGUACACGUGGGUACCUGCCUGUAAGACUGGGAUAACUCCGGGAAACCGGGGCUAAUACCGGAUGCUUGUUUGAACCGCAUGGUUCAAACAUAAAAGGUGGCUUCGGCUACCACUUACAGAUGGACCCGCGGCGCAUUAGCUAGUUGGUGAGGUAAUGGCUCACCAAGGCAACGAUGCGUAGCCGACCUGAGAGGGUGAUCGGCCACACUGGGACUGAGACACGGCCCAGACUCCUACGGGAGGCAGCAGUAGGGAAUCUUCCGCAAUGGACGAAAGUCUGACGGAGCAACGCCGCGUGAGUGAUGAAGGUUUUCGGAUCGUAAAGCUCUGUUGUUAGGGAAGAACAAGUACCGUUCGAAUAGGGCGGUACCUUGACGGUACCUAACCAGAAAGCCACGGCUAACUACGUGCCAGCAGCCGCGGUAAUACGUAGGUGGCAA
Molecule: ribosomal RNA, 471 nt
Filed under: Bacillus subtilis
Lineage: Bacteria; Bacillati; Bacillota; Bacilli; Caryophanales; Bacillaceae
Description: bacterial SSU rRNA
Rfam family: Bacterial small subunit ribosomal RNA
Source: RNAcentral